Molecule: small nuclear RNA, 100 nt
Filed under: Choloepus hoffmanni (Hoffmann's two-fingered sloth)
Lineage: Eukaryota; Metazoa; Chordata; Mammalia; Pilosa; Megalonychidae
Source: RNAcentral
GUGCUCACUUCAGCAGCACAUAGUUGGAACAAUACAGAGAAGGUUAGCAAGGCCCCUGUACAAGCAUGAUACACAAACUCAUGAAGUGUUCUAUAUUAAA